RNAcentral lists this ribosomal RNA (502 nucleotides) under uncultured bacterium. RNAcentral's name for it is "bacterial SSU rRNA". It matches the Rfam family "Bacterial small subunit ribosomal RNA", at positions 55 to 518 of the family's 1533-position model. The record is from RNAcentral.
UAGCAAGUCGAACGGAAGUCGUCAUAAUGAUUCUGAUAUGGAUAUGAAGAUUUAUCAGAUUUGAAAUUGAAGUUGAUUUAUGACAAUGGCUUUAGUGGCGGACUGGUGAGUAACGCGUAAGCAAUCUGCCUAUUAGAGGGGAAUAACAGUGAGAAAUCAUUGCUAAUACCGCAUAUGCCAUAGUUAUCACAUGAUAGUAGUGGGAAAGGAGUAAUCCGCUAAUAGAUGAGCUUGCGUCUGAUUAGCUAGUUGGUGGGGUAACGGCCUACCAAGGCGACGAUCAGUAGCCGGACUGAGAGGUUGAACGGCCACAUUGGGACUGAGAUACGGCCCAGACUCCUACGGGAGGCAGCAGUCGGGAAUAUUGCGCAAUGGAGGAAACUCUGACGCAGUGACGCCGCGUAUAGGAUGAAGGUUUUCGGAUUGUAAACUAUUGUCGUUAGGGAAGAUAAAAGACAGUACCUAAGGAGGAAGCUCCGGCUAACUACGUGCCAGCAGCUGC